Molecule: non-coding RNA, 71 nt
Organism: Ictidomys tridecemlineatus (thirteen-lined ground squirrel)
Lineage: Eukaryota; Metazoa; Chordata; Mammalia; Rodentia; Sciuridae
Source: Rfam
GGGGUUGUGGCUCAGUGGUAGAGCCCUUGCCUAGUAUGCACGAGGCACUGGGUUCGAUCCCUGGUACCACA